RNAcentral lists this transfer RNA (60 nucleotides) under uncultured Methanobrevibacter sp. It matches the Rfam family "tRNA", at positions 7 to 64 of the family's 71-position model. Rfam says of the family: Transfer RNA (tRNA) molecules are approximately 80 nucleotides in length. Their secondary structure includes four short double-helical elements and three loops (D, anti-codon, and T loops). Lineage: Archaea; Methanobacteriati; Methanobacteriota; Methanobacteria; Methanobacteriales; Methanobacteriaceae. The record is from RNAcentral.
UUGUGGUAUAAUGGAAGAAUAUUGGCCUUCUAAGCCGAAGAUUGGGGUUCGAAUCCCUGC